GUAGCCCCUGCCAGCUAUGUCACUUUUGCUUCCUUCUUCCUGAAGGGACCCGCAGCUCAAUGGUGGGACAGCCACAGGCGUACUCUGCCAGUUGGGACAAUCAUCUCCUGGCCAGACUUUCAGGCUGCCUUCCGUGCCCGCUUCAUUCCUCAGGGAAUCAUGGACAAGAAGAAGCGUGAGUUUCGAAACCUCACCCAAGGCAACAAGACUGUUGAAGCUUAUCAGCGAGAGUUUCUGGACUUAUCCCGCUAUGCUGAAGAAGACAUUGCAACUGAUGCACGCAGACAGGAGAAGUUCCGUGAAGGCCUUCAAGCUGACAUCAAGCUCGCACUUCUAGUGCAUGACUUUGCCGAUUUCGCCACCUUGGUGAAUAAGGCCAUCAAUGUUGAGACUGGUCUUCAAGAACACCAUAGCUCUCAAAGGCGCAACCGU
Molecule: ribosomal RNA, 432 nt
Filed under: Triticum aestivum (bread wheat)
Lineage: Eukaryota; Viridiplantae; Streptophyta; Magnoliopsida; Poales; Poaceae
Description: partial small subunit ribosomal RNA
Source: RNAcentral